GAUGAAGAACGUAGCGAAAUGCGAUAAGUAAUGUGAAUUGCAGAAUUCAGUGAAUCAUCGAAUCUUUGAACGCACCUUGCACUCCUUGGUAUUCCGAGGAGUACGCCUGUUCGAGUGUUAUGAAGCUCUCAAAACGCAAUUGGCUUAAAACCUGAUUGUUGUUUUGGAUUUGAACUUUGCCGUGUUAUAACGGCUGGUUUUAAAAGUAUUAGCUGGUACUAGAACGAAUUGGUUCUACUCAACGUGAUAAUUAUCUGAUCGUUGAGGACAUUCCUUUCACGAGGAAUGGCCAUAGUAAAUUCAAUGGACUGCUUCUAAUCUGGCUUUAAUUCUUUAUUGGAUUAACCACUUUUCAAAUCUGACCUCGAAUCAGGUGGGACUACCCGCUGAACUUAAGCAUAUCAAUAAGCUGAGGA
This 416-nucleotide unclassified non-coding RNA is filed under the name soil metagenome. Its description in RNAcentral is "partial contains 5.8S ribosomal RNA, internal transcribed spacer 2, and large subunit ribosomal RNA". The stretch from base 1 to 120 matches the Rfam family "5.8S ribosomal RNA", at positions 35 to 154 of the family's 154-position model. The record is from RNAcentral.